AUUAGGCGGCAUUACAACAUAGAAUUGUUGAAUCCACAUAUUUAAUCGACUAAAAAAAUGCACUAAUAUUAUUUACAAUAACUAUAUCAACAAUACAAUUUGCAGUAUUCUAAGCACUAUUGAUGUAUUCAGAUUAAUAUUGUCUAUAAACAUCAUACUAAUAAUUUAAAAAAAACACAAAGUAAUAAACCAAAUUAACCUUAACUUCCUGCAAUAAAAUAUCAAAACUAACAGUAAUGCACCACAAAUCUAAAUCCAGAACAAUGAGUAAACACUUUAAGAAUCAUAAUACCAAUAGUCAUCAUUCUUAACACUACUUAAAACAUCCUUAUCUAUUGGUGGACUGUAAACAGCAAUGCCAUAAAUGUCAAUUUUGUGUCCCAAAGACCACGGCAGAAUCAUAACUCCACACAGCAUGAUGAAAUAUAACAAGCAAAUAACUCCACACAGCAUGAUGAAAUAUAACAAACAAGUCUACAUUUGUUCUAAAGGAUCCAAAACCCUCACACUGUGACGUGGUCAGAAUAAUAUGCUCACCUGCAAUGUUUAAAAAAACUAUAGAAUCCAUACACACGAUUCGCAAGUUCUGGAAACCGAAAACAUAAACAAACCAAAAGUUUACUAGCCAAAAUCAGGGAAUGUACAAGCAGCACAAUUUUUACUUUACAUCAUCAACAUUUUGAACAGAAAUAAAAAUUGACAAUCGGGAACUUAAGGAUGUAAUCGAAACAAGCUUUAUGACUGAAAUUAUGAUACAUAAAGGCUACGAAUAAUAAACCACACAAAUCAUCAUCAAUUUAGAAAUUAAGAACAUAGAAAUUGAUACAAUAAUCUUAGAAUGUCAAGCUAGCAACUAUGCCCAAACCGAGCCCACAAAUAACCAUAAAUUGAUGACGCAUUUAAAAUCGAAAUGAAAUACACACCUUCCUGAAAUCAAACGCUAACCACGUCAAAAUGACUAGAGAGAAACAAAUACAGGGAUGCAUUUCAAGCCCCUCAUAUCGAGAUAAAGCAAAGUAAAGUACUCGCAAUAACAGUCGCAAUCGAACAAUCUUUUAAGAGACGAAUACUUGUUCUAAUCAAUCUAUUACCAUAACAGCAUAUUGAGUAACAGAAAACAGAUACUAUCCAAAUUUAUCAAUGUAUUCUAAUCAACCAGCAAUAUCGAAUAAAUAAAAAUGAAAAGGCAGGGAAGGUGAGUAUCUACUUUAACAGCACCUAAGCAAAGAACAAUCACUUUACCAAACGAAACGACGAUGAAUCCGGCGAGUUACGCAAUGGCCGUUGGUUGCGAGCUCUUGGUCCUGUAAGGAAACUUGUGGUGAUUGGCGUCAUCAUUGUUGUUGAGGUGCACUAUUAUGAAGGCAUCGUGAAGUUGGGCAUGAGUUUUUUGCUUCGAAACUCUAUCUAAACAGGGUUCACCAUGUGGACACCGUUGUCGUAUGGUCACUGUGAUGACGUGAGCGGCAUCACGGAGUCAAUGAGUAGUAAGACCAUGAACCACGGAUGUGCGUUUUUUCCGACACUUUGAUGCUGCGUUUCUGUGGUUGGCUGUUGUUGCCUGAGCGACGGAGGAAGAUCGCGGGUUACGGAGGGACGGCGACGGCGUGGUGAUUCGUCGGUAGAUUUGAGAAUGAAUGUGAGGGCGUGUAUGAAACGGAGUGAAGGUUUUGGUGUCGGAGGGUUUGAAGCGGCGAAGGUUGUGGAUUCGUGGGUUUUGGGGUUUCGUGGCGUGUGGACGGCGAUUGAGAGUUGUUGAGUGAGGGUUUUGGGAUGGUGACGAGAAGAAGCGGCGAUGGAGGUAGCGGUGAGGCGUAGCGAUGAAGGAGGUUUUGAAGGCGUUGUGUCGGUAGAUGGAGUUUGUGUGGUGACGGCGGCUAGGGUUUUUUGAUAGUGAGAGUGUGUGGGAGGCGAAAAGGGAUUGAAGAGGGUUUUGAGAUAUUUUGGAUGUAGUGAGAGAGUCUGUGAAUUUGUGGUGUGGGGAGAGAUAAGGAGUGAGGGUGAGGAGUGUGGUCUGUGUACCGAGAGAGAAAAGAGAGUGAUAGUCCAUUUAAUGAGUGGAGUGAGGUGAGUUUGUGUAGCAGACCGUUGGGAGGAAUUCUGUUGUGAGGGUAUUAUGGGAACGCGUGGCAAUGAUGAGAGGAAUUUGAGCUUGUUAUGAGUGGGUCGGAUUUGUGAGGGAUAUCCUUUUUCUUUUUGUUUUUUAUGUGAGGAGGGAAUCCAAUGCACAUAAAUUUUUUAUAAUUAUUAUUUAUUUAAAGAACAAAUCAUAAAAAGACUAACUAAUAUUUAAUUCAAACACAUUCUAAUUUAUUUUAAUUAAAUAUCUAACCAAAAAUAUUGACCCAUUAAAAAUAGAAAUCGAGUACAAAUUUGUUCGAAAAAUUAAACCGGUCACACUAAAAUUGUCAGGAAAAAAUAUAGUUAUUAAAAAAAUACAGUCUUUCCUCAAAUUUUAACGAUUCAACCGAUUUUUCUGUAUUCUCAAAUAAAUUCAUUCUGACUGACAUUUUAGGUGUUAUUCAUGAUGCAAUGUAUGUCAUGUUAUGUAUAUGAUGCAAAAAAUAAAAAAAUGAAAUCAAUUCUAUGAAAUUUAAAUAUGUCUGGACAAAAUUGGGAUAUGACAGAAAUCACUUGAAAAACCAAUUUGGAGCCAAAUGCAAGUGAUGAAAUGUGAAACCAAUGCUUAAUUUUCAAAUUUGAACUUUCCCUCCAAAAUUCAAAUGAAAAACCAAAUAUUUUUGUGAUGGAAAUGCAUGGCAUAUGAUGCAUGUUUUGGAUAGUGCAUGUCAAGACAUGAAUGUUGCAAAAAGAACCACUUCAUUUGGCCUUAUGGUUAAAAAGUUAUGCAUGUUUGAAGUCCAAGUUCACUUGGCCAUGAUUGAUCCAUAUCUUUUCAACCAUACAUGAGAAAUUCAUGAUCUUGGACUUUUUGGAAAGGGGAGAGAAAGAUCUUCAACUUUCAUGUUGGACAAAAUUUCAUUUGAAUCUUGUUUGAUGAUGUAAUCUUGAGGAGAAAACCUUUCCAUUUUUGGCAAUUUCAAAUUACAGGUCAGUUACUAUUUUUGGAAACUUUUCAUCUGACCUCAAAUUCUUCAAUGUUGAUGUUUGAAAUGUCAAAUGAGACUUGUAUGGACAUGAAUGAGGCCUCUCUAACCAUCUCCCACCUUCAAAUCCAUGAUUGAGGAAACUUUUCAUCUGACCUCAAAUUCUUCAAUGUUGAUGUUUGAAAUGUCAAAUGAGACUUGUAUGGACAUGAAUGAGGCCUCUCUAACCAUCUCCCACCUUCAAAUCCAUGAUUGAAUUGACAGUCGACUUUUGUUGACUUUCUAGGGUUUCAGAUGACUUGCAUCUUGACUGAUGAGCUUUGAACAUCCAACCUUUGCCCAAACCACUUCAAAAUGAUCCUUGAAUCAUAUUAACUCAUUGAACCAACCCUAGGGCUUUGCUUCCAUAGGAAAUUCACUUGCUUGCUUGCACAACUGAACCUCCUAACCAGUCUUGACUGAUCUUGCCUGAUGUUGACUAUGCAAAUGAUAAUGCAAUGAGCUAUGCCAUGGUCAAUGCAAUGUUAAUGACAAAAAAAUGAAAAUGUAUGUGCAAAAUGGGAGGUGCAAAUUUGAGGUGCUACAGAGGGCUGUAACUGUAAGUCAUGUGAAUGCUUGGAAGAAAAUAAUGCUUGAAAUAAAGGAAGUCAAUAAAGAGGCAUUCAAACAUCUCAUCAAAAUUCCAUCAAGAUUUUGGAGCAAAUCAAGGUUCAGGACAAGUACAAGUUGUGAUACUUUGGUGAAUAAUAUGUCUAAUUCAACUCUGUCUUUGUAGCUACUAGAGUCAAGCCAAUUGUGACAAUGCUUAAAGAAAUUAGAGUGUAUUAUAAUGGUGGGAAGCCUGUUUUAAGUCAACCUUGAUGUUUCUAUGAUGUUUGUUAUGCCUUAUAAUGAAUUUUUGCAAUGUUAUUUUAGUACCUUAUAAUGGCUUAUUGAUAAUGGCCUAUAAUAUCUUUUUGUAAUGUUAUUUUAUUAUCUUAUAAUGGCUUUUUGACAAUGGCUUAUAAUAGAUUUUUGUAAUGUUAUUUUAGUACCUUAUAAUGGCUUAUUGACAAUGGCUUACAAUGACUUGUAAUACCUAUUUGUAAUGUUAUUAAUAUUCCUUGUAAUGUCUUGAUGACAAUGGCUUAUAUGACAUUUUUGUAUCACUUUUUGGAAUGUUAUAGAUAUGCAUUAUAAUAGGUUAUAUUUUGUUCAAGCUUUUAUAUCAGUUAUGUAUCAGUGUAAAAACAGAUGAAUAAUGCACAAACACAACACUUUAUUAAAACAGACACUAACAUUCUUCAUUAAAUAAAUAGAAGAUUACAUUCAUAUUGUGAAAAAAAACAUUAAAUUACCCUAAUCCUAAUUGAAAUACUUUGUUACAAAUACAAGGUUCAACCCUAAACUCAACAUCCUAACCACAAUGGAUAUUUUUAACCAUCUGUUAGUGUGGAUAACCUCAUUCUUCAAUUUGUUAAUUUUCUUCUUUUGUCUUUCAAGCUUCAACUUCCUUUCAUCAAUAAAUUCAUCCCCUAACCACUUGAAGAAAUUACACCUCGUGUCCAUGUGAUUUUUGUAAUUUCUACAAUCCAAAAUUUUCUCCCAUAGUUGACAUUGUUCACAUCAGUAACAAUACGAAGAACAUUAUCAUCUUGGCAAAAACACUCAAUUAUGUUAUUUCUAUGAAGCACGAAUCCAGAUGUAGCAAAGCUUAUGAUUGAGACAUUGCUUGUAUUCUUAGACAUUGAAGCAUUGAUUGAGGAAUACGGAUGCACGAUGGAAGAUGGAAGAUGGAUGUAUGAACAUACGAAUGCACGAUGGAAGAUGGAUGUAUGAAUAGUGAAAAAUGAAGGACGAAGAUGAAGGAUUAGGAAAACACGAACCCUAAAUGGUUUAUAACACAACAAUUGAGUCUUAACUUGAAUGGUUGCAUACCUAACAUGCCACCUCAACAAUACUUAACAUUUUCUCACCCUAACUAACGAAAUGGACCAAAUAUUUUAACGAAAGAGAAAUCAAGGUAUCAAUACAUAACGUUUUUUAGAUAGGGGACCAACAAGAAACUUCACUUAAAACUAAGAGACAUAAUGACUAAUUAGGCAUAUAUAUAUAUAUAUUAUAUAUAUAUAUAUAAUAUAUAUAUAUAUUAUAUAUAUAUAUAUAUAUAUAUAUAUAUAUAUAUUAUAUAUAUAUAUAUAUAUAUAAUAUAUAUAUAUAAUAUAUAUAUAUAUAUAUAAUACUAUAUACAACAACAUCAACUCACAAGUUAAUUGCAAAUUUACAAUGUUUAAUACUUUUUAGCAACGUUCAAAUUAUAUAUUUCAAGAUGAAUUUUGAAAUAAUGUUGAUAACUUCUAAGUUAGUGAAAGGUCGGUUCAAGGAUUUUUUUUUAAAUAAACAACUUUUUCAAAAAAAUAAAUUCCAAAAAUAACCACAUUUAAAAGAGGAUGCGCCAGAUGAAUUGACGCAUCCAUUAAACAUCAAGAGGAGGCAUCCAAGGCAUUGACACCUGCAUUAGGCCCCUCAAGAGGAGACGUUAAUGUCUCUAACGCUUACAUGGUGCAUGUUGUGUGCGCCAGAUGAAUUGGCGUAUACACCACAUGCACCAUGCAGGCGCCAAAGGCAUUGACGCCUCCUCAUGAGGACCAAUGCAUGCACCAAGGACAUUGACACCUCCUCAUGAGGGGCCCGAUGCAGGCGUCAAUGUCUUGGGUGCCUCCUCUUGAUGUUUAAGGGAUGCGUCAGUUCAUCUGACGCAUCCUCUUUUAAAUGUGGUUAUUUUGGGAAAAAAUUGAAAAAUUGUUAUUUUGGAAUUAUUUUUGAAAAAGUUGGUUAUUUUUAAAAAAUACACUUCAAGUCAGAAGAAAUUGAUUUUUUUUAAAUAACAAUUUAAAAAAAAAUCGAAAAUAACAAAUAAUUCAAAAAAAACAAAAUAACCACUUUUAAAAGAGGAUGCGUCAGAUUAAUUGGCGCAUCCCCUAAGCAAGAAGAGGAGGCGCCAAUAGCAUUGGCGCAUGCAUUGACCCUCAUGAGGAGGCGCCAAUGUCCCUAGCGCCUUAGAGUUGUUUGUGGUGUGGGCGCCAAUGCCUUUGGCGCCUGCACCCCUUGUAUUUUUUUUUUAAUUUUAAUUUUGUUUAUUUAUUAAGUAAAAAAAAAUAAUGUAACAAAAAAAUUUAUUCAUGUGGUAAUAAUUAGUUACAUUGGACUGAUAAUAAACCAAUGACCAGCCCGAUCAUAACGUCCCCAUGUUCCACAUCCAGGUGUGUUAGUUUACCUCUGAGGUCUCUCACGAUUUUCUUGAGGUGUUUGAGGUCUUUGCGUGCUGACCUGAUCAAACGAUGGCUGGUGGGAAGGUCCAGCGGAAGUUCCAGCGGUAUUUGACAAAUGUGUCAUCAUUUGUUCCCAAUAUUUGGAGGGGCUCUGGUCAACGACGCUUCCGUAAUGGAGUUCGGUGCCCAUGUCAUCGUAGUUAGGUCGUUGGGGUUGGGUGGAUUGGGGACGGUAUAGUUUCCCAAAUUGGGUCAUUGAAUCGUUUUGGAAACGAAACAAUGGUUUCUGGGGCGUACUAUAGUUAAACAAUGAUUGGGUAUUAUGGUGAUGAGAUGUUUGGGUGGUCAUUGGCGGGGGCCUACGAUGAAGUGACCCAUAUGAAUCAUUUGGGCUAUAGACAGUUGUGGUUGCGAGAUUUGAUUUUUGGUUUUGUGUUUGGGUGGGUGGUAUGAAUGGAUUGUGACAUUGGAUGGUUGAUUGUUGGGUGGAUGACAUGAACGGGUUGCAAGGUUAGGUGUUUGGUUGUUGUGUGUAUGUGGUAGGUUGAUAUUGUGAGGUUGGUUGUUGAGUUUGGGUGGGUUGACAUUGGUGUUGGGUGGGGAAUUGUUGUGGGGCGUACGAUGACGAAGUAAGUUGGCGAGGAUCCAUCAAAUACCGCGACUCAUAUACAAAUUUUUGAGUUGUUACCGACCUAAACCAUAC
Molecule: long non-coding RNA, 7001 nt
Filed under: Lathyrus oleraceus (garden pea)
Lineage: Eukaryota; Viridiplantae; Streptophyta; Magnoliopsida; Fabales; Fabaceae
Description: Pisum sativum (pea) long non-coding RNA (PSAT_LNC021956)
Source: RNAcentral